Non-coding RNA from Neurospora crassa OR74A, 532 nucleotides. The record is from RefSeq and is a predicted model, not a curated record. Lineage: Eukaryota; Fungi; Ascomycota; Sordariomycetes; Sordariales; Sordariaceae.
AUCAUCAUCAGCUCGAUCUUCUUCGUCCAGUCCAGUCUCAUUCGUCGCACCUCGUGCAGUCCUACAAUAACCAACAUACAUCUUCGACAUCAAAUUUGUCACCAAUGGCAGUUGACGACGACGACAGGCGGCGCGCCCUUGUCGCACACGGAGACGCAGACUUGCUAUUCUUCUUGAUCUUUGUGCUCUUCUUGAAUUUUUUUGUUUUUUCGCGUCGCGUGCUCUUUUACUCGUGUCUGUUCGUCUAUCUUUACUUUUUGAUUCUCUUUAUGAUUGUCUUCUUCUUUUUUUUCGGACUCCGACGUUUGGGGGGUCCCCUCGUUUGAGUAGGUAUUGAUGUGCAGGACGGGAACUUGGCUUGAUGAUUUUGUCGACUUGACGUUCGAGAUGCCAUUUUACGUCCACGGUCCAAAGUCACAAAGUCGAUAGUCCGAGAUUCAUCCACUUCACAACAUCAAUUCUAUCCUCGAGGGCUACUCAUAGUCACCCCAGGACUGAAUUGGGAGGGACGGCUUCGUGGUUGUGUCUCUUC